Molecule: long non-coding RNA, 13385 nt
Filed under: Setaria italica (foxtail millet)
Lineage: Eukaryota; Viridiplantae; Streptophyta; Magnoliopsida; Poales; Poaceae
Description: long non-coding RNA (SITA_LNC005512)
Source: RNAcentral
CGCUGGCCUGGGCCAUCGCGCAGCUCGGCUGGGUCGCCGGACCCGCCGCCAUGCUGCUGUUCGCAUUCGUCACCUACUACACCGCCACGCUGCUCGCCGAGUGCUACCGUACCGGCGACCCGGAGACCGGGAAGCGCAACUACACCUACAUGGACGCCGUGCGCUCCAACCUCGGCGGCGCCAAGGUGGUGUUUUGCGGUGUUAUCCAGUACGCCAACCUCGUCGGCGUCGCCAUCGGCUACACCAUCGCGUCGUCAAUCAGCAUGAGGGCCAUCAGGAGAGCCGAUUGCUUCCACACCAACGGGCACGCCGACCCGUGCAAGAGCUCGAGCACACCGUACAUGAUCCUCUUCGGCGUUGUGCAGAUCCUCUUCUCGCAGAUACCCGACUUUGAUCAGAUAUGGUGGCUCUCCAUCGUCGCCGCCGUCAUGUCCUUCACCUAUUCUUCCAUCGGACUCUCCCUCGGCAUCGCACAAACAAUUUGUAAGUUCUUGAUCAUCUGUUCAAGACAUGCAAUUUUGCAUGAUUGAUCGAUGCUAAAUUACUGACAUGAGCUCGAUCGGUUGUUGGAAUUGCAGCUAAUGGAGGGUUCAAGGGAAGCCUUACCGGCAUCAGCAUCGGAGCCGACGUCACCUCCACACAGAAAAUCUGGCACAGCCUGCAGGCCUUCGGCGACAUCGCCUUCGCCUACUCCUUCUCCAACAUCCUCAUCGAGAUCCAAGUAAGCAAUCUACUGCUCUACUGCUCUGUUCUCUUCAACUCGAUUCCUCUGUUUCUAAUAACCAAAGCUAAUCUGAUUCUUCAGGACACAAUCAAGGCACCACCACCGUCGGAAGCGAAGGUGAUGCAGAAGGCCACCCGCCUGAGCGUGGCGACGACCACCAUUUUCUACAUGCUGUGCGGGUGCAUGGGAUACGCGGCGUUCGGCGACGAGGCCCCGGACAACCUGCUCACGGGGUUCGGCUUCUACGAGCCCUUCUGGCUGCUGGACAUCGCCAACGUCGCCAUCGUCGUGCACCUCGUCGGCGCCUACCAGGUGUUCUGCCAGCCCAUCUUCGCCUUCGUCGAGCGCCGCGCCGUCGCCGCCUGGCCGGACAGCGCCUUCAUCUCCCGGGAGCUCCGCGUGGGCCCCUUCGCGCUCAGCGUGUUCCGGCUCACGUGGCGGUCGGCGUUCGUGUGCGUCACCACCGUCGUCGCCAUGCUCCUCCCCUUCUUCGGCAACGUCGUCGGCUUCCUGGGCGCCGUCUCCUUCUGGCCGCUCACCGUCUACUUCCCCGUCGAGAUGUACAUCAAGCAGCGCCGCGUGCCGCGCGGCAGCACCAAGUGGAUCUGCCUGCAGACGCUCAGCAUCACCUGCCUCCUCGUCUCCAUCGCCGCCGCGGCCGGUUCCAUCGCCGACGUGAUCGACGCCCUUAAGGUCUACCGGCCGUUCAGCGGUUAACUUGACAGAAGAAUCUCAAGCAACUACUGCACACUAAAAUCACCGGACUGUUUGCGCAUACCAAGAGUAGCGAGUGGCGGGGCGACGUGCCGCGUAUUCCUCCAGUACAUGGUUCCACUAGGCAGGAUGAUCUUGUUCUACCUGCAACUAUGUCUUGCUAACUUUUUCCAUAGAUUAGAUAUGUUCCACACUAGAUUAGCAGUAAGCUGCAAGUGAAAUAAUUUUGGCCGCUCGUCAUGUAUGAUUGAGAGAGACUCUGAUUUUUAUUGUUUUCCUUUUUUGGUGUGGGCGCCAGCUUGAAACCUGCAAAAAGGUUUUUCUUAUGCUCCCGAUCGAUAUUCGUUCAAAAGUUGAAAUUCAGUCUUAUAACUUUAUACAGCUACAAAAUAGGGCCUGCUAUACAGUAGUUCAUAUGAAUUUAGGAUUUAAUAAUCUUUAAAAGUACGUAAUCUUUAGAAUUUGCCUGGCAGCUCCAAGCGCCCUCAUUUUUUUUUAAUCCUAGACUACACUACACAAGGCCGUUCAUUAUUACAAGCCAAAUGGAAAAGCACAAAAUUACAAAAUUCACACCUUGUAAACACCAAGACAAGAUAAAUGUUUCAAACACAUAUCUUGUUACUAAACCUUCAUCCAUGCUUGGUAAAGAUGUUCAUCAUCAUGGCUUCAAAAUUUUGGCACGCCGUGGUCAAGUGAUGGUGUUCCUCCUUUUUUGCAGCAAGGACCAAAAGUGACUAUUUAGCCGCUUGUCAUGUAUGAAUGAGCCUCUGAUAUUUUUUUUUUUUGUGGACGCGUCAGCUUGAAACUCCAAUAAGGAUUUCUUUGGCUUCCGAUCAAUACCCGUUCCAAAAUCUAAGAAACUUUCAAGAACUUUGGGCCUUAUACUCCAUGCAUUCAUCUUUUAUGGCACAUUUUUACGAUCUAAAGUUCACUCUUUGAUCAGCAAUUAUAUGUAUGAGUCGAAUAAUAAUAUGUGAGUUAUGUCAUAUUCAAAAGCCGUUCCUUAUGAUUAUGAUUUUUUAACUUUAUAAAAUACAAUAGAAAAGAACUUAUUGUCAAAGAUAGAUUCUGGACUGUCAAAGAGGGCAUUAUAUUCUUCCAUGACUAUGACAUAUAAGGUGCUAAAUUACGUAUUUGUUCUUUACUUGAUCAGCUCAUAUGCUCAGAUCACAUUUUUUUAGGACUUGAACAUAUUCUUUUAUUACUUAUAUGAUUGAAUCAUGUGAUGCCUUCGAAGAUAAAUGCAUGCCAAUAAUGCAAGUUGGCGUGACCUUUUUUUUUUGACGAAUCGACCUUGUGGCAUCAUCUUUUUCCUAGGAAAGCGACUAUAUAUGCUAUACAACAAAUUUGAAGUGCAAAGUUCCAAAUCAUUUCUUUACAAAACUUGUCUGCACCUUGGCACUAAUCGAUCGAUAGACUUUAACUAUAUUCUCGGCAGUUUUCUUGGACCUUGAUGAUCUGUCAAAAAGUAUCUAUCCAUAAGAAAAGUUUGUGUGCUUGUUAUGCUUCCACACAUGUUGUUCCUUUUGUAUAUUGUACGUAUCCCAUUCGCACGUGGUUUCUUUGUACGUAUAUUGUAUCGCAUUUGGAUUUAAGAACAGAGGGAGACUAACUGACCAAGCUGUGUGCAUCAUGAACUAGGGUAGAGCCUCAAUGUGUCUAUAUGGAUAUAUUUCUUAAGUGCGCAUUCAGAUUACAUAAUAAACUUCCUGCCUUCACCAAAAAUAUAAAAGGUGGUACUGGAUAUUGAGAUCCUAACGAAACAUUUUGUUAUUAGCAUGUUUACACUGGACAAUGUACAUGCACAAUCAUACUCAUAUGAUUUCAAAAAAUAAAAAAGAUUAGAGCUAUAAAAAAAGGUGGUACUGGAUAUUGAGAUCCUAACGAAACCUUUUGUUAUCAGCAUGUUUACAUUGGACAAUGUACAUGCACAAUCAUACUCAUAUGAUUUCAAAAAAUAAAAAAGAUUAGAGCUAGCUGCACGCAGUUUGGCAGGUUUGUAGAGCGUGCAAACUUUAGGUUGCUGGUGGACGUUUAUUCGACAUUUUGUAGGAAAAAAUGUAUCCAUCGAUUGAUCGAUUGAUUGAUUGAAGAUGCGCAUGAGGAAUUGGUUAUGUCCAUUAAUUUGUUAUCCUUUGUCAGUCUCUCGACAAGUCCAAAAGUGCUUUGAUUCCAGUUAGUUUAGUUCAUGAAGCAAUUAUAUACGUGCAUGCGGCUAUGAGCUAGUAGUAGCCUUCUGUGACGAGUUGCUUGGAACUUUGCAUUGGACAACGAUGCGUUUGAAGUACUGGGACAUGCACUAGUAGACAUCAAUUAUUGGGUGCAUUUCCUUGCUCAUAUGGUCAAUGUCGAUGUCAGAUACGUGUGGCGCGACUUCACUUGAAAACGGGAGGGAUAGUUUGGUUGUUUCAACUGAUUAUUCGUCAGAAGGUAAGAGAGUAGUAGCAGUAGUAGUAGAAGUUAGCCAUGUAGCCGACUUCAAGCAAAUUAAACAAAGUGUUGGUGGCAUUGGCUUAAUUAUAUUGACCUAAGUGUUGUUUGGCUGCUUUUUUAUGGGCACACAGGUGGUACUUGAACUGUUAGCUGUAGAUGCCCCCGAAACUGAGAAAUUCAGACGCCUGGAAGAGAUAUUACUCGGAGCACUAACCGCAACUCUGCAAGUAGCUAGUGAUCCAAGAGCUUUCCUCGAGUGGAUCGAUCGAUCAUUUACACCUCGAUCGAUGUUGAACCACAUUCUGCCUAUCUCGUUCAGGUCGACUGUGACUAGAGGAUUGAGCAAUCGGCCGGGCACGCCGGUGGAGUGGGCACGGUCCUUUCAUCUUCCACCUCCGAUCCUGGACCUCAAGUGAAGUGGACGGGCGGGCAUGCUUGGAUAGUUGGAUAAUGGAUAUGGCCGCAUCUACAAGGAAGCAGGCCGUUGUGUUCCACCGCGAUAGAUGCAUUCGUGCGUGGCGUGCCGACUGCGGACGGCCGCCGCAUCCGAUCCGUCUGUGGCGUUUGGAAUCAAGAGUUUUUUUUUUUGAAAAUAAUUGGAAUCAGGAGUCGCUGCAGCGUUUCCCUCCCUCGUUUUCUCGUCUCCGAAGGAGACUUGCUCUUCUCUCUUACUAGAACAGAGUACGUGCAGAGAUGCUGGUACUGGCCGGCCGGCCGUGCGCUCCCCCACCUGAACCUGAUCGAGGGAUGAGGAUUGGAGGAAGAAGAAAGAAAUGCGUCGUCCGUGUCCAUGUGAUGCGAUCCCCGGGGCCCGGCUCUUGCGCCGCGUGACGCGCAGGCAAGUCCUUUGGUCGCCACUUGGAACCCCUCAAAAUUCCAACUUGAAGACUAUGCAAAAAGAAAAUUCUCCAUCACAUCAAACUUGUGGUACAUGCAUGGAGUACUAAAUGUAGACGAAAUAAAAAAUUAAUUGCACAGUUUUGUUGUACUUUGCGAGACGAAUCUUUUGAGCCUAAUUAGUCAAUAUUUGGACAAAAUUCACAAAUACAAACGAAACGCUACCGUUGCGCUACAGUAAUUUUGGUUGUUCAAAGUUGGGCAACCUAGGUGUCACUCAGGGAGAUGCCAUGCAUGCAUGCGUGGCCCGAAAUAUAAUGGCAGGUCUCGCUGUCGGCACGCGUGCAGUGGGGCCUCGGCGUCUCCGUCUGCCUGCGCGUUGGGCACACUCGGCAGCGCGUACCCGCUGCACUGCAGCCGUGUCGUGUGGCCCUGGCUAGCUGCUAGCGACAGGAGAGGCAGCAGCGAGCGAGCAGGGGGCACCACACUCACCACGAUCCGAUCGGAUCCACCGCUCGCCGAAUCACAGCAGGACAGGCACACGAACACUAAAACAUUCUGCAUAUCCAGUGCGUGCAUGCAGGUAGAGGUAGGCCACGGUUUGACCUGCUUCCGUUUCGCCUCACCUCUGCAUAUGCAGGGCCUGUUUAUUUCCUCAAAAUUCUAAUUUUGACACUAUGCAAAAAGAAAAUUCAACAUCACAUCAAACUUGCGGUACAUGCAUGGAGUACUAAAUGUAGAUGAAAUCAAAAACUAAUUGCACAGUUUUGUUGUACUUUACGAGACGAAUCUUUUGAGCCUAAUUAGUCAAUGUUUGGACAAUAAUUCACAAAUACAAACGAAAUGCUACAGUUGUGCAUUUAUGGCAAAAUGUCAAUUUUACCACUCCUAAAUUGGGAACUAAACAGGGCGGAGGAUCGAGUUGACUGCAGUAGUACGUACAGUACGUGACUUUAUUUUGAAAUCCAGGCUGAUCAUAUCCGCUCCUCACCAGCAUGACUGCUGCUCAACCACAGCCUGGGUGCCUGCACGCGGUGUUGCACUGUUGGGGAAGAUGCAUGUAGGCGAGCCAAGCCAUGUUAAAAAAACAGAGGAUAUUUUAUCUGUAGGACGACACUGCGAAAUUAUGAUUUAUCUCAUUGAAUUUGUUUGAUGGACACUGCAAUUUUGUGAUUUUGUCUACAAGACACUACACCAAAUAAAAUAAUCAUUUGGAAGAGAGAGGGUGAGUAAAAAGACUUUGUUGCCCAUGACUUUCUUCUUCCUCUAAUCGGAAGGACAGAGACAUAUGCACUUGCAGCGCUGUGGUCUCCUGCUGGCCUCUUCCUUGCCGGCUGCUGCUCAGCUUGUCUACCAAGCACCGCGAGCCAGUCUCUCCUCCAAUGAUCCUCUCUCCAAGUCUUCUCCAUUUGAAGCGCCAGCGGAGUAUUGCGUGGAGGUCACCACCACCAAGGUGUGCCCAGGGACGCGGAGGGGAAUGGACGGGCAUCGCAUGGAGCAUGGGACUUGUCGAGCGUAUGCAGGAUGCAGCGACCUCUCCUCGCCUUCGCCGUCCCGCAGGGCCGGCCGCACCCCGUGAUGCCGCUCCACGUGAUGCUCCAAAUGGCCCUAAAAAAAAAACUUGAUCCGUCCAUCGACUUGCACGUCUUCUCUUUCUCCUCUCCCAUCGUCUGGACUAUAUAUCUUGACGACCACGAGAUUAUUCAGGACAGCAUCGUCCCACUAGGGUGUGUUUGGUUGGUUGUAUCAUUUGAUUCAUGUAUGAAAUGAUUCAAAAUAAUAAUGAUCCUUUUGUUUGGUUGGGUGAACUGUACCAGCUCAUCCAGGAUGAGACCAUCCCACUUAAUACAUUAUUCUACUAAUUAGAGUGAACCAUAUGGUACAAGCAAAUUGGUCGAACCACCCCAUCCAGGAUCAUCCAUACCUGCAUCAUGUGGUGCAUGCAACCAAACACACACCUAGUUAAUUCAGAGGUACAGGUCGUCGGCACGCGCGCAGGCAGACUGGACGGGAGAAGAGACGAAUCACAAACUGUUCCAAACCAUACCAUCGCAGCAUCAAGCCUCCACCAAUGAUUACUGUUUAGCUCACUCAUAAAAUAUUUGUCAUAUUUUAAUAGGAGAGAGAAGAGCUAUCUCUUGAUCAAGAGAUAGUUCCGUACAUGCACUUCAAAAUUAUGUGGGGUUAUUCAUAUCAUAAAUUACGUGCUACAAGCUAGAUAAUUGUAAGGUUAUUUUUUAAAGUGCUUAGAGCUGGAUACUAGUUGGUACCAUCGGAGGAGGUCUCAGGAAUUAAUUGUUAGAGAUAGAUUGAUUGAUCAGGGCAUCACGCUACUGCAGUGAUGGAUGCCCUCACGGACAACGGAGGUCGUGGCAACGACCAGCACCAGCUGCUGCGAGAAACUCUGUCUGACCACGGAGGCCACCUUUUUGACUUGCCACCCGUGCCACCAAUCCCUCUCCCGCCUACUUCGAGGAUGAAGCGAGCCGGAUCUUCGCCAGUAAAAUCCGACUUCGUGUAUCCUCCCGUAUCCUUAUGGUGGGUAUAAGUAGUUAUCAUAUACAGAACUCAUUUCAGUAUAAUAUCAUAUUCAUACCAUACAAUAAUAUUUAUUACAUCUAAGAAUAUAAGAGUACGAUCUGGUACAAGCUCCUUUGACUUAACGACAAGAAUAAAGCCAAUGUGGCAAUAACUAACUUCUGGAAGCAUCUCCAUCUUCUCGAUCAACUCCACAGGCAUCUUGAGCAUAGCAUCACGACCUUCAGUCGUACCACCCAUCGUGGUUGUUAUCGAAGUUGGACUCGUAACUUGCAAACUCACGAGCUAUUCCCAAGAAAUAAGACAGGUCCACGUCACCAUCCGUAUAUAGUGCAAAUUUUAAGUGGCCUAAUACUAGUAUAAAAAAUAGUCAAGAAAUAGGCUCGAGUUUCCUAUGUAGCAGCAAGCAUAAAGAAUAAACUUCCAUAACCAUCAACCCAUCUCUCAUCACAUCGGGAGCACCUGCCUCGACAGGAUCCCUAUCACCAUCAUCCUAUCUCCGAACUAGGGUCAACGCAAAGACUCCCUUGGGUUGUGUAAAGCUCACCCCCGCCAAGUAUCCAAAAACACCUUCUCCUGCCGGUUUUAUCCCACUCACGCCAAGAAUCCUGAUCACGAUAUCCCAUACACAUGCAAGCAUAGCACAACGUAUACACACGCGUAUAUGGUAUAGUAGUUCGAAAGUCAAGGUAUAAGGCAUAAAAUAAGGUUGUGCAGGGUUCAUCAUCAUCAUGCGAGAAAUAAAAAGCUAGCAUACUAAUUAAGCAAUGCCUAAUGGGUAUUCAAGUCGGAAUGGGCAUGAACCUGAGUAGUCUUCCUCCUCGUAGUAGUCUUCGUAUGGCUCCGGCUCCGAAUUCAGCUCCGAGUCCCCGACAGCUCCUAUUUAUGCAAUUACCAUAAUUACAGAGGGUCUAAUUGCAAAGAAAACCCAAAAGAGACCUAAGGAAGACCCAAACAAGAACAAGAUCUAGUCCAUCGUGUGCUUCAUUAUUUUAGAAAAAUUAUGAAACCGGUUUCAUAUUUUUUGGAGUUAAAAUAAAUUAGUUAUAAAUUUUUGAAGUUUAAAUCAACUUCUGGAAUUUUGAAAUAAUUGACGAAAAUCAGAAUAGACCCGAGAGCGACACGUGGCAGCAUCAAAGUGCGCCACAUGUCUUGUUGAUGUCAGCAGUGGGGUCGGGUGACGUCAGUGUUGACCUGGUCAACGGUAAACGGUUAGCGGGUCAAAGUCAACGGUCAGUGUUGACUGAUCAACGGGCCCUGGUUAGUGGGUCCCACGUGCUCGACGAAUUGCCCCAAAGGCAAUCCGUGUCGGCAGCGUGCGGCUGCGCUGCUCAGCUAAGUCCGGCGAGGCUCGGGCUACUUCGACAAGCCCCCAAUGACCCAAGGCUUGACCUCUGGUCACCUCUUGACAGUGGCGUGGUGUGCGGUAAGGGGUGGCAACGGCGGCGAGCUGUGGUUCAAGGUGGCUCAGAGCGCGAUGUAAAGGAGCGGCCUUUGGUCGGGUUUCGGCGAUGGUGCGGGCAUAGCGUGCGUGUGUUCCCGAUGAGGCGUCCACGGCAGAGGUGUCGGAAGCGAGGCAGCGGAGCAAGGCUGUGUCGGCGGCGAGGCAGCGGGAUGAGGGAAGGAUAAGCUGGAAAGAAAACAAAUAGGUAAUUGUAGUUCUAAGUCGAGCGCUGACUUCAACUCCGAGGUCAUGAAUAAUGCUCCUAGCAUCUCAACUGAUGAAGCCUAUGCUCUGCAGUGCGAUGGCGAAGUGUCAAGACAACGUGAGUCACGACCGUUGUAGUUGCAGUCUUACAUUAAGACCAAAACUAAUCAUUCACGUUAGGGGAAAAGGAAGGGCAUUAUCCAUGUGUAUAUAGUAGUACGUACUACCCCAACCAGCAUUAGGAGACGUGCAGCUCCACCGGAAAAUCGAGAACAAUGCAACAAUUUGCAUGCAUAUUGUUGAUUACCGGUGCGGUAUUGCUAGCUGCUACUCUGUUCUAGUAGGAAAUAAACGUGCGAGUUCUCCGCUGAAGCUAAUCAGGUUCAAGCUCAGUGCCUACUUCCACUCACUCUCGGUGCAGCUUAUUGGCUAGUACUAGUAAUGUAGCACAAUCAGUCCGUUAUCCAGCUAGUAAUAAUCAUGAGAAGCUUGAAAUAUUUAACCCGCAAAUAAAGAGCGCCCAGAAAGCGCGGGGAUGGCAGGAAAAAGGCGCGAGGGAGCUGAGUGCGCCGCUGAGUUCUCAAGCAGUCGGCAUCGACGCGCCAACAUCCGACGACCCCAAGUGAAGUGACGGCGGUGAAAGUGAUCGAGACGCAUGCACGCGCUGAUGACACGCACCAACACCUUAGCCAUCGACCUCCACUUGAGACUUGACUUCUCUCAAGAACAAACUUAUUUGGAGAGAAAUUUCUGAAGAAUAAAAGGACAAUAAUACUCGUGAGUUAGAAGAUACCAGUGGACCGCAUCCUGAAGAUUUAAUUUCGGCUCAUCUAAACAAAGCCCAAAAAUUGCAGAAAUAUCUGUCUUUGCAGACUUUCCACAUCGGCGAUAAAUUGUUGAGCUCAAUUUGCCGAUUUCAUUCCAAAUCCAAAGGAGCAAUAAGGGAACCGUAAAGCCACUUGUUUUACAACUUGCUCCACCACCUCACCAUUUCAUGCCUAGAGUAUCCAGGAAUAUAAAAAAGAGUAUGCGCUAGAGAUGCUCUAGUAGGUAAACUGUAAAAGUGUAAAGUGUAAAGGGUAAAUUGUUUAAGAUAUCCUAUAUACCGCUGAACGUGCGAAAAAUAUUCGCUGAAUAAGACUGCCAACAAUUAUCGCAUAGCGCAUGAUGCGGCACCUUGGUUCCCAUGCAUCCAGCAACUGAUUAACAAGUCUGGCGUGUAAUCCGUGCAAAUGUUUUUACUGUAAUCACGUACUAUUUUAAACCUGAGUGAAACCCACUAUCGGUAUUAUUUUCCUGCUUGUGCUUAAGUAAAAGGGAUAACAAUUAACAAAUUGACGAUAAGAUGUCUUGUACUCCUGUUCUAUUAGCUGAGUCACAAGUAAGCUGAGACGAUAACAUGUCUUGCUCUGUGCCAUCACACGGAAUCCUUUUAGCUGUUUGGCUGUAACGUGGGAUGAAAACAAUCGGAAAUGAGAGUUAUCGGUACAAGUCUUCCAUCUCCCGAUUCCCGAAGUCAAAUACUUUUCUGCUCCUGAGCUCGGCAAUGGCGGCCGCUCAAGGACUGCCGGAGGAGGAAUCAGGGUGUGUUUCCACGUCGUAAAGUUUAGCACCUACCACAUCGGAUGUGUGGAUACUAAUUAGGAGUAUUAAAUAUAUGCUAAUUAUAAAACUAAUCGUACAGAUGGAGUCUAAUUCGCUCGCGAGACGAAUCUAUUAAACCUAAUUAAUCCAUGAUUUGAUCAUGUGGUGCUGCAGUAACCAUUUGCUAAUGAUGGAUUAAUUAGUCUUAAUAGAUUCAUUGUCACGAAUUAGCCUAAGGAUUAUGCAAUUAGUUUAUAAUUAGCUCAUGUUUAAUUCUCUAAUUAGCAUCCGAUGUAACACGUGCUAAAGUUUAGCACUCCAAACAUCCCCUUAGCACCAGGGGUCACGUCAGCUGCCAAUGCGAGGGGCGGUGUCAACGGCUGGCGCUGCCUCACGCGUUCGCGCUCCCUCGACGCCUUCUGAGCGCCGGCAGUGGAGCACAAUGCCUCGUGGCCUGGGAACAAGUUUGUGUGCCACGCGAGCUGGGUGGCCUGGGCCUGGAAAACCUGAGCAUUCAGAACCAGUGCCUCCUAACCAAGCUGCUGCAUCGCCUCUUCCACCCAGGCGUCGGCACAUCAACUUGGUCACUCUGGAAGGAAUACCCGGUUAGUUGGGAAUUUACCAUAUUUUCUAAAUCAACUAUUAUAUGAGAAAUGUAACGUAGAGUGAAAACAAAUAGAAAUAGCAAGUUUUAUGUUUGAGUAGAAUCGGAAAGGUCAGAAACGAAAUCAUUUUUCUGGAAACGAAGCUCCAUCGGUCUAGAAUUUCCAUCACUAUUGUCCGCUCGCGGAAAGUGGCAACCCUCCACGGCAAGGCUGCACGGAGGGUGUUUUGUAGCCCUCCUGCACGGAAUUUUUUUCCACGCAACCCACCACGACUUCGCUCCUGUCUGGCGGUGUUGCACACUCUAGGCUCCACCGCCAACUGCUUCGUCCCUGGUGCGUUGCACCGCCCCCACAUCGCUCCCACGGCAUCUCUCCAAGCUGUGGCCGUCAUGCUGCUCUCCUGCCGGUCCGGCCACGCUGCGCGAAGCCACCUUCUCCCUGCUCCAUGCCCGCCUCCCCGCGGCUCUCCAAGCUCCGGCCAGUCGCGCCGCUCUCUUGUUGCUCUGGCUGGGCCACGCAACGCCCCCAUCUUUUUACUCCAUCCCUGUCGUCGCUGCCGCCCCUCACCUCCAUGGGUGCACCAUCGCCCUUCCCCGCCAGCGUGGGCUGCUGCUCCUCUUCCCCUGUACGAGCCAUCGAUGAGCAUCAUCACGACAGGGCAUUUUCGCCAAGAACAACGGGAGGUGAGGGUGAAGUCGGGGGGAGCCACUUUUUUCCGCUCCGCCUCCACCGAAUGGCUCUAGUCAACGGGAAUUGAGGAGCUUCUCCAUCGAAGCCGUUUGUUGGCUCUAGCUAAAGAGACCCUUAGCGAUUGUAAUGUAAAAGUUACUUCCUCCAUCUUGACCUGACAAGACCUCUUAAACAUUUUAGGACAUAUUAGCAUGAGUAGCAAAAGAUGCUUGUACCCCUAAAUUAAUAGUAGUUGCAGAUAACAAGGAACUUAUUUUUAGUAAUAAUCCACAAAUCAGCCAUCCUUAUUUUGUCAAUUAUAGAAAAAAUUAUAUGGCAAUCAUCCGAAGGUGGCUAGAAUGCUUCCAUUUUGUUAAAAAAGUUUCUAGUCUUAUUGUACUUUUCCCUUCACGCAGAAGGCUCCGGCGUGCACUGAAAAAGCCAAAUAAAUUCGACGGAUCAGGUUCCCUACUAGUACUAAUAAUGUACUGAUACAUUGAAUGAAUUCGAUCGAAUAACACCAAUUCGGCGGGAGUAUUUUAGGAGCACCUAAUAUACCGUGGGGAGUACGCGGCGUGAACUCAAAACCAUUUUGUGCAGCCAGCCACAUGCAUCCAAAAGAUCCAUGACAGUCUCACAACUCACCACUCUCACGACUCACGAGCGCUUGUUUUUUUCUCUCCGGGCAUCUUGAAAAUAUUUUUAAGCAACCUCCUCACCAUGACCUGACGUCCUGACCUCGCAGGCAUCGUCUCCUGCAGCCCAAAGCCAACGCAAAGCUCCAACCAGCAGGAUAGAGGAGCGUCGUAUUCACUCAUUUCGGUUUUCAUUUUUGCCGCUCAAAACAAAGUGAGAAAAGAAAGGGAAUUUACCAAGGACAGAGACGCUGACCGGCCGUCCAACGCGCUGUGAGAGAUACAGCACUCCUCUGCCUCCCCUGCCAUCACACUAUAUAUAAAGCAGCCUCGUCGCUGAUCUCCUCCGCCAUCACACACCACCGCUCACCUCGCCUCAGCCUCACACAUCACAGCCUCGGUCACUCGCAGACAAGAACCCAAGCCUCGCCCUCGGCAUCGCUGAAAUAAUUCAUGGCGUCGCACCACGGCCCCAAGCACGUGGCGCCGAUGGAGGUGUCGGUGGAGGCCGGGAACGGUGGCGCCGCCGAGUGGCUCGACGACGACGGCCGCCCGCGCCGCACGGGCACGGUCUGGACGGCCAGCGCCCACAUCAUCACCGCCGUCAUCGGCUCCGGCGUGCUCUCCCUCGCAUGGGCCAUCGCGCAGCUCGGCUGGGUCGCCGGCCCCGCCGCCAUGCUCCUCUUCGCCUUCGUCACCUACUACACCGCCACGCUGCUCGCCGAGUGCUACCGCACCGGCGAUCCCGACACGGGGAAGCGCAACUACACCUACAUGGACGCCGUGCGCUCCAACCUCGGCGGCGCCAAGGUGGCCUUCUGCGGCAUCAUCCAGUACGCUAACCUCGUCGGCGUCGCCAUCGGCUACACCAUCGCCUCCUCCAUCAGCAUGCAGGCCAUCAGGAGGGCCGGCUGCUUCCACAAGAAUGGGCACGGCGUCCCGUGCAAGAGCUCCAGCAACCCAUACAUGAUCCUCUUCGGUAUCACGCAGAUCCUCUU